UACGGGAGGCAGCAGUGGGGAAUAUUGCACAAUGGGCGCAAGCCUGAUGCAGCCAUGCCGCGUGUAUGAAGAAGGCCUUCGGGUUGUAAAGUACUUUCAGUCGUGAGGAAGGUGUUAAGGUUAAUAACCUUAGCAAUUGACGUUAGCGACAGAAGAAGCACCGGCUAACUCCGUGCCAGCAGCCGCGGUAAUACGGAGGGUGCGAGCGUUAAUCGGAAUUACUGGGCGUAAAGGGCACGCAGGCGGUUAAUUAAGUUGGAUGUGAAAUCCCCGGGCUUAACCUGGGAAUGGCAUUCAAGACUGGUUAGCUAGAGUCUUGUAGAGGGGGUAGAAUUCCAUGUGUAGCGGUGAAAUGCGUAGAGAUGUGGAGGAAUACCGGUGGCGAAAGGCGGCCCCUGGACAAAGACUGACGCUCAUGUGCGAAAGCGUGGGGAGCAAACAGGGAUUAGAUACC
This 454-nucleotide ribosomal RNA is filed under the name uncultured bacterium. Its description in RNAcentral is "bacterial SSU rRNA". It matches the Rfam family "Bacterial small subunit ribosomal RNA", at positions 340 to 786 of the family's 1533-position model. The record is from RNAcentral.